GGCGGACGUAGCCAAGUGGAUUAA
Molecule: transfer RNA, 24 nt
Filed under: Asterella khasyana
Lineage: Eukaryota; Viridiplantae; Streptophyta; Marchantiopsida; Marchantiales; Aytoniaceae
Also listed under: 1 other name
Description: partial transfer RNA-His
Source: RNAcentral